UACGUAGGGGGCAAGCGUUGUCCGGAAUCAUUGGGCGUAAAGCGCGUGUAGGCGGCUUGGUAAGUCUGCUCUGAAAGCCCGGGGCUCAACCCCGGGAGGCGGGUGGAUACUGUCAAGCUCGAGUCCGGAAGAGGAGUGUGGAAUUCCUGGUGUAGCGGUGAAAUGCGCAGAUAUCAGGAGGAACACCAAUGGCGAAGGCAGCACUCUGGGACGGGACUGACGCUGAGACGCGAAAGCGUGGGGAGCAAACAGG
RNAcentral lists this ribosomal RNA (253 nucleotides) under uncultured bacterium. RNAcentral's name for it is "partial 16S ribosomal RNA". It matches the Rfam family "Bacterial small subunit ribosomal RNA", at positions 524 to 776 of the family's 1533-position model. The record is from RNAcentral.